GACGAACGCUGGCGGCGUGCUUAACACAUGCAAGUCGAACGGAAAGGCCCUGCUUUUGUGGGGUGCUCGAGUGGCGAACGGGUGAGUAACACGUGAGUAACCUGCCCUUGACUUUGGGAUAACUUCAGGAAACUGGGGCUAAUACCGGAUAGGAGCUCCUGCUGCAUGGUGGGGGUUGGAAAGUUUCGGCGGUUGGGGAUGGACUCGCGGCUUAUCAGCUUGUUGGUGGGGUAGUGGCUUACCAAGGCUUUGACGGGUAGCCGGCCUGAGAGGGUGACCGGCCACAUUGGGACUGAGAUACGGCCCAGACUUCUACGGGAGGCAGCAGUGGGGAAUAGUGCACAAUGGGCGGAAGCCGGAUGCAGCAACGCCGCGUGCGGGAUGACGGCCUUCGGGUUGUAAACCGCUUUCGCCUGUGACGAAGCGUGAGUGACGGUAAUGGGUAAAGAAGCACCGGCUAACUACGUG
Molecule: ribosomal RNA, 468 nt
Filed under: uncultured bacterium
Lineage: Bacteria
Description: partial 16S ribosomal RNA
Rfam family: Bacterial small subunit ribosomal RNA
Source: RNAcentral